Molecule: ribosomal RNA, 497 nt
Filed under: uncultured bacterium
Lineage: Bacteria
Description: partial 16S ribosomal RNA
Rfam family: Bacterial small subunit ribosomal RNA
Source: RNAcentral
GAUGAACGCUGGCGGUGUGCCUAAUACAUGCAAGUCGAGCGAACGGACGAGAACGUUGCUUCUCUGAUGUUAGCCGCGGACGUGAGAGUUACAUGUGGUGCACCCACCUCUAAGAUAGGGAUCACUUCGGGUAACCGUAGCUAGUACCGGAUAAGCUUUUCAUCCUGAUGGUUCAAAAGUGAUAGACGGUCUUGCUGUCACUUAUCGACGGAUCCGCGCUUCAUUAGCUAGUUGGUAAGGUAACGGCUCACCAAGUCAACGAUGCAUAACGGACCUGAGAGGGUGAGCGGCCACACGAGAGCUAAGACACGGUCCGGACUCCUACGAGAGGCAGCAGUAGGGAAUCUGCCACAAGGGGCGAAAGCCGGACGGAGCAACGACGCGUGAGGCAUGAAGGUCGUGGGCUCGAAAACCUCUGUUAUGAGGGAAGCACAUAUCUGUAGGGAACUAGGCACAUCUUGACGGUAGCAGAACAGAAAGCAACGGCUAACUACGUG